This 253-nucleotide ribosomal RNA is filed under the name uncultured bacterium. Its description in RNAcentral is "partial 16S ribosomal RNA". It matches the Rfam family "Bacterial small subunit ribosomal RNA", at positions 524 to 776 of the family's 1533-position model. The record is from RNAcentral.
UACGGCGGGGGCUAGCGUUGUUCGGAAUUACUGGGCGUAAAGCGCACGUAGGCGGAUAUUUAAGUCAGGGGUGAAAUCCCAGAGCUCAACUCUGGAACUGCCUUUGAUACUGGGUAUCUUGAGUAUGGAAGAGGUAAGUGGAAUUGCGAGUGUAGAGGUGAAAUUCGUAGAUAUUCGCAGGAACACCAGUGGCGAAGGCGGCUUACUGGUCCAUUACUGACGCUGAGGUGCGAAAGCGUGGGGAGCAAACAGG